Molecule: non-coding RNA, 87 nt
Organism: Didymosphaeria variabile
Lineage: Eukaryota; Fungi; Ascomycota; Dothideomycetes; Pleosporales; Didymosphaeriaceae
Source: the annotation of a RefSeq genome assembly
AGCUAGAUGGCACAGUGUAAGCGCGCCGGGCUCAUAUGGAAAUUCCUGUAAACCCGGAGGACGAAGGAUCGAGGCCUUUUCUAACUA